UACGGAGGGUGCAAGCGUUAUCCGGAUUCACUGGGUUUAAAGGGUGCGUAGGAGGGCAGGUAAGUCAGUGGUGAAAUCUUCGAGCUUAACUCGGAACUGCCGUUGAUACUAUCUGUCUUGAAUAUUGUGGAGGUGAGCGGAAUAUGUCAUGUAGCGGUGAAAUGCUUAGAUAUGACAUAGAACACCAAUUGCGAAGGCAGCUCGCUACACAUAUAUUGACUCUGAGGCACGAAAGCGUGGGGAUCAAACAGG
This 252-nucleotide ribosomal RNA is filed under the name uncultured bacterium. RNAcentral describes it as "partial 16S ribosomal RNA". It matches the Rfam family "Bacterial small subunit ribosomal RNA", at positions 524 to 776 of the family's 1533-position model. The record is from RNAcentral.